RNAcentral lists this ribosomal RNA (465 nucleotides) under Vreelandella stevensii. Its description in RNAcentral is "partial 16S ribosomal RNA". It matches the Rfam family "Bacterial small subunit ribosomal RNA", at positions 338 to 795 of the family's 1533-position model. The record is from RNAcentral. Lineage: Bacteria; Pseudomonadati; Pseudomonadota; Gammaproteobacteria; Oceanospirillales; Halomonadaceae.
CCUACGGGUGGCUGCAGUGGGGAAUAUUGGACAAUGGGCGAAAGCCUGAUCCAGCCAUGCCGCGUGUGUGAAGAAGGCCUUCGGGUUGUAAAGCACUUUCAGUGGGGAAGAAAGCCUUGGGGCUAAUACCCUCGAGGAAGGACAUCACCCACAGAAGAAGCACCGGCUAACUCCGUGCCAGCAGCCGCGGUAAUACGGAGGGUGCGAGCGUUAAUCGGAAUUACUGGGCGUAAAGCGCGCGUAGGCGGUCUGAUAAGCCGGUUGUGAAAGCCCCGGGCUCAACCUGGGAACGGCAUCCGGAACUGUCAGGCUAGAGUGCAGGAGAGGAAGGUAGAAUUCCCGGUGUAGCGGUGAAAUGCGUAGAGAUCGGGAGGAAUAACAGUGGCGAAGGCGGCCUUCUGGACUGACACUGACGCUGCGGUGCGAAAGCGUGGGUAGCAAACAGGAUUAGAUACCCUGGUAGUC